CCUUUGUGGAGCAGCACUAGUAGAGACUCCUGCCACUUUAUUUUCUUGUUCUCUUUGCUUUCUUCUUUGAUUUCUUCAUAGCUCUCUUCAGGUUAUGCUGGCCUAACUCCUCAGGUGACAUCGCUUCUCUCUUUCUCCUUUUUCUUCUUUCUUUACUACUUGUUCAUCCAUUUGUUGCUUGCUUUUAUCUUUCACUGGUCUACCCAUC
Molecule: long non-coding RNA, 208 nt
Filed under: Capsicum annuum
Lineage: Eukaryota; Viridiplantae; Streptophyta; Magnoliopsida; Solanales; Solanaceae
Description: long non-coding RNA (CANN_LNC017231)
Source: RNAcentral